AACGAGAGUUUGAUCCUGGCUCAGAAUCAACGCUGGCGGCGUGCCUAACACAUGCAAGUCGAACGAGAAAAUUCGGGUGUAGCAAUACAUCCGGGUGAGUAAAGUGGCGCACGGGUGAGUAACACGUAGCUAACCUACCCUCGAGUGGGGGAUAACCUGGGGAAACCCGGGCUAAUACCGCAUAACAUCCCGGUGGCAUAAGUCGCCGGGACCAAAGGCCCGCAAGGGUCGCUCAAGGAGGGAGCUGCGGCCGAUUAGCUAGUUGGUGAGGUAACGGCCCACCAAGGCGAUGAUCGGUAGCCGGCCUGAGAGGGCGCACGGCCACACUGGCACUGAAACACGGGCCAGACUCCUACGGGAGGCAGCAGUGGGGAAUUUUGCACAAUGCCCGAAAGGGUGAUGCAGCAACGCCGCGUGAGGGAUGA
RNAcentral lists this ribosomal RNA (425 nucleotides) under Acidobacteriota bacterium. Its description in RNAcentral is "bacterial SSU rRNA". It matches the Rfam family "Bacterial small subunit ribosomal RNA", at positions 1 to 411 of the family's 1533-position model. The record is from RNAcentral. Lineage: Bacteria; Pseudomonadati; Acidobacteriota.